GUGGGGAAUAUUGCACAAUGGGGGAAACCCUGAUGCAGCGACGCCGCGUGAAGGAAGAAGUAUCUCGGUAUGUAAACUUCUAUCAGCAGGGAAGAUAGUGACGGUACCUGACUAAGAAGCCCCGGCUAACUACGUGCCAGCAGCCGCGGUAAUACGUAGGGGGCAAGCGUUAUCCGGAUUUACUGGGUGUAAAGGGAGCGUAGACGGUGUGGCAAGUCUGAUGCGAAAGGCAUGGGCUCAACCUGUGGACUGCAUUGGAAACUGUCAUACUUGAGUGCCGGAGGGGUAAGCGGAAUUCCUAGUGUAGCGGUGAAAUGCGUAGAUAUUAGGAGGAACACCAGUGGCGAAGGCGGCUUACUGGACGGUAACUGACGUUGAGGCUCGAAAGCGUGGGGAGCAA
This 400-nucleotide ribosomal RNA is filed under the name uncultured Blautia sp. RNAcentral describes it as "bacterial SSU rRNA". It matches the Rfam family "Bacterial small subunit ribosomal RNA", at positions 354 to 771 of the family's 1533-position model. Lineage: Bacteria; Bacillati; Bacillota; Clostridia; Lachnospirales; Lachnospiraceae. The record is from RNAcentral.